This 1620-nucleotide ribosomal RNA is filed under the name Triticum aestivum (bread wheat). RNAcentral's name for it is "partial small subunit ribosomal RNA". Lineage: Eukaryota; Viridiplantae; Streptophyta; Magnoliopsida; Poales; Poaceae. The record is from RNAcentral.
AUGGCGACCCCCCGCCGCCGCGAGCUCCCCCUGCCCGCGCUCGCCGCCUUCCUGCUGCUGCUCCUCCUCCUCGCCGGACGCGCGGCGGCCGACGACGCCUCCAGCGACGACCGCGGCCACGACGCCUCCCCCGGCUGCAACAACAAGUUCCAGCUGGUUAAGGUGAAGAACUGGGUGAACGGAACCCAGGGCACGACAGUUAUCGGACUGAGCGCGAGGUUCGGAUCCCCCUUGCCAAGAACUGUCGACGAGGCUCACAGAACAUUUGCUGCCCUCACCAGUCCUCCAGACUUGUGCUCGAACUCAACCUCAAAGUUAACGAAUUCUAUUGCCUUAGCGGCACGCGGAGGGUGUCCUUUCACCGCCAAGGCCGAGUUUGCGCAGGCUGCUGGCGCCGCUGGUUUGGUUAUUUUAAAUGACGAUGAAGAACUUUACAAGAUGGUUUGCGGUGACAAUGAUACUUCACUUAAUGUGACAAUUCCCGUCGUAAUGGUGCCACAUUCAGCAGGCAAGAAUCUGAAGGACUUACUGGAUCAUGGAGCAAGGGUGGAGAUGCAGUUAUAUUCGCCAAAUCGACCAGUUGUGGACCUUUCAGCAUGCUUCUUGUGGUUAAUGGCUGUAGGAACUAUAGUAUGUGCUUCACUCUGGAGUGAAUUCGUUGCAUGCGAACAGAUUGACGAGCAUUAUAAUCAGCUGACACGGCAGCCGGGACCUAAUUCUGGAACAAACAACACACAAGAUAAAGAAAUCCUUGAAAUCACAGCAAAGGGAGCUGGUGUUUUUGUCAUAGUAGCUUCAGUUUUCCUUCUCCUCCUGUUCUACUUCAUGUCGUCUUGGGUCGCCUGGCUACUGAUUGUAUUGUUCUGCAUUGGUGGUGUUGAGGGUAUGCAUGUUUGCUUGGUGACAAUUAUCUCUAGGAUUUUUAAGGGUUGGGGAAAUAAUACUGUACAAUUGCCAUUCUACGGGGAGGUCUUGGCCUUGUCUGUUGGAAUAGUACCAUCCUGUACGGUCUUUGCCAUUCUAUGGGCUGUAUAUCGGCAUUCUUCGUUUGCUUGGAUAGGCCAAGACAUCCUUGGUAUCUGCCUGAUGAUAACUGUGCUUCAGAUGGCGCACUUACCUAAUAUCAGGGUUGCAUCAGCUCUUCUUAGUGCUGCAUUUGUGUAUGACAUCUUCUGGGUCUUCAUUUCGCCUCUUAUAUUCCAUGAGAGUGUUAUGAUUGCAGUUGCUAGUGGAGACAGCUCAGGGGAAGCAAUUCCGAUGCUCCUAAGAAUACCUCGUUUCUUUGAUCCAUGGGGUGGCUAUGACAUGAUAGGCUUUGGCGAUAUUAUCUUCCCUGGAUUGCUCGUUGCAUUCAGCUACAGAUUUGAUAGGGCAGGCAAAAAGGGUAUCUUGAAUGGAUAUUUUCUGUGGCUGACUGUGGGAUAUGCUGUCGGACUUUUCCUUACCUAUCUUGCGCUUUUCCUGAUGGAUGGACAUGGUCAGCCGGCGCUGCUGUACCUGGUUCCUUGCACGUUAGGGGUUAUUGUGGUGCUUGGUUGGAUAAGAGGCGAACUGCCUCACUUGUGGAACUACGGAAGAAGACCGGAAAAUUCAGUCGGCGAAGUUUCAAUUGUAAUCUGA